This 211-nucleotide long non-coding RNA is filed under the name Elaeis guineensis (African oil palm). Its description in RNAcentral is "long non-coding RNA (EGUI_LNC025012)". Lineage: Eukaryota; Viridiplantae; Streptophyta; Magnoliopsida; Arecales; Arecaceae. The record is from RNAcentral.
GAGUCUAGAUUCAGUUGAUGAGUGACCUAAGAGUUGUUUGAGGGGCCUAAGAAAAUAGAUGAAGUGAAUUAUCUUGAGUAAGUGAUUGUAUGACAUGAUGUCAGUUCUAAAUAUACAUAUAUACAUACACACACACACACACUUAUUAUUAGCUUAGUAGAAUUAAAUAAUUAUGACCUACAAUGAGUCAUUUCUGGUUGUUGUUACGUGC